CCUACGGGUGGCAGCAGUGAGGAAUAUUGGUCAAUGGGCGAGAGCCUGAACCAGCCAAGUCGCGUGAAGGAUGACGGCCCUACGGGUUGUAAACUUCUUUUGUCAGGGAGCAAUUGGGUCCACGCGUGGGCUUAGCGAGAGUACCUGAAGAAAAAGCAUCUGCUAACUCCGUGCCAGCAGCCGCGGUAAUACGGAGGAUGCGAGCGUUAUCCGGAUUUAUUGGGUUUACAGGGUGCGCUGGCGGAGGCACAAGUCAGCGGUAAAAUCGCGGGGCUCAACCCCGCUCCGCCGUUGAAACUGGGUACCUUGAGUGCGCGAGAGGUAGGCGGAAGUCGUGGUGUAGCGGUGAAAUGCUUAGAUAUCACGAAGAACCCCGAUGGCGAAGGCAGCCUGCCGCAGCGUUACUGACGCUGAGGCUCGAAAGCGCGGGUAUCGAACAGGAUUAGAUACCCUAGUAGUC
RNAcentral lists this ribosomal RNA (460 nucleotides) under uncultured bacterium. Its description in RNAcentral is "partial 16S ribosomal RNA". It matches the Rfam family "Bacterial small subunit ribosomal RNA", at positions 338 to 795 of the family's 1533-position model. The record is from RNAcentral.